CCUCGGGAUUAGUGGCGAACGGGUGAGUAACACGUGAGCAAUCUGCCCCUGACUCUGGGAUAAGCGCUGGAAACGGCGUCUAAUACCGGAUACGAGCCGAGCAGGCAUCUGCAUCGGUUGGAAAGAACUUCGGUCAGGGAUGAGCUCGCGGCCUAUCAGCUUGUUGGUGAGGUAAUGGCUCACCAAGGCGACGACGGGUAGCCGGCCUGAGAGGGUGACCGGCCACACUGGGACUGAGACACGGCCCAGACUCCUACGGGAGGCAGCAGUGGGGAAUAUUGCACAAUGGGCGCAAGCCUGAUGCAGCAACGCCGCGUGAGGGAUGACGGCCUUCGGGUUGUAAACCUCUUUUAGCAGGGAAGAAGCGAGAGUGACGGUACCUGCAGAAAAAGCACCGGCUAACUACGUGCCAGCAGCCGCGGUAAUACGUAGGGUGCGAGCGUUGUCCGGAAUUAUUGGGCGUAAAGAGCUCGUAGGCGGUCUGUCGCGUCUGCUGUGAAAUCCCGAGGCUCAACCUUGGGCCUGCAGUGGGUACGGGCAGACUAGAGUGCGGUAGGGGAGAUUGGAAUUCCUGGUGUAGCGGUGGAAUGCGCAGAUAUCAGGAGGAACACCGAUGGCGAAGGCAGAUCUCUGGGCCGUUACUGACGCUGAGGAGCGAAAGCGUGGGGAGCAAACAGGCUUAGAUACCCUGGUAGUCCACGCCGUAAACGUUGGGAACUAGAUGUGGGGACCAUUCCACGGUCUCCGUGUCGUAGCUAACGCAUU
RNAcentral lists this ribosomal RNA (765 nucleotides) under Agrococcus jejuensis. RNAcentral describes it as "bacterial SSU rRNA". It matches the Rfam family "Bacterial small subunit ribosomal RNA", at positions 84 to 861 of the family's 1533-position model. Lineage: Bacteria; Bacillati; Actinomycetota; Actinomycetes; Micrococcales; Microbacteriaceae. The record is from RNAcentral.